This 90-nucleotide transfer RNA is filed under the name Marasmius sp. AFHP31. RNAcentral's name for it is "tRNA-Tyr". It matches the Rfam family "tRNA". From Rfam's summary of the family: Transfer RNA (tRNA) molecules are approximately 80 nucleotides in length. Their secondary structure includes four short double-helical elements and three loops (D, anti-codon, and T loops). Lineage: Eukaryota; Fungi; Basidiomycota; Agaricomycetes; Agaricales; Marasmiaceae. The record is from RNAcentral.
CCGACCUUAGCUCAGUUGGAAGAGCACAAGACUGUAAAUGGUUGAAUCCGCGUUAUCUUGGGGUCGCCUGUUCGAACCAGGCAGGUCGGA